RNAcentral lists this ribosomal RNA (495 nucleotides) under uncultured bacterium. RNAcentral's name for it is "partial 16S ribosomal RNA". It matches the Rfam family "Bacterial small subunit ribosomal RNA", at positions 28 to 507 of the family's 1533-position model. The record is from RNAcentral.
GACGAACGCUGGCGGCGUGCCUAAUACAUGCAAGUAGAACGCUGAAGGAGGAGCUUGCUUCUCCGGAUGAGUUGCGAACGGGUGAGUAACGCGUAGGUAACCUGCCUGGUAGCGGGGGAUAACUAUUGGAAACGAUAGCUAAUACCGCAUAAGAGUAGAUGUCGCAUGACAUUUGCUUAAAAGGUGCAACUGCACCACUACCAGAUGGACCUGCGUUGUAUUAGCUAGUUGGUGAGGUAACGGCUCACCAAGGCAACGAUACAUAGCCGACCUGAGAGGGUGAUCGGCCACACUGGGACUGAGACACGGCCCAGACUCCUACGGGAGGCAGCAGUAGGGAAUCUUCGGCAAUGGACGGAAGUCUGACCGAGCAACGCCGCGUGAGUGAAGAAGGUUUUCGGAUCGGAAAGCUCUGUUGUAAGAGAAGAACGAGUGUGAGAGUGGAAAGUUCACACUGUGACGGUAUCUUACCAGAAAGAGACGGCUAACUACGUG